GCUGGGUGUGGUGGUGUAUGCCUGUAAUCCUGUGGCUUGGGAGGCUGAGGCAGGAGGAUCACAAGUUCAAAGCCAGCUUCAGCAAUUUAGCCAGGCCAUGAACAACUUAGUGAGAUACUCUCUU
This 124-nucleotide small RNA is filed under the name Marmota monax (woodchuck). Lineage: Eukaryota; Metazoa; Chordata; Mammalia; Rodentia; Sciuridae. The record is from RNAcentral.